CACGUAUUAAAAAACAAAAUAGCAUCGUAUUAAAAAACAAAAUGGCGUCAGGAUACCAAUAUGUAUUUAUAAAUUCAUUGGUAAAUUAUUAGUUUCAGCUGAUCAUCUGGGAAAACGGUGGACCCAUUGGAGCUUGGAAGAAAUUUAAAACAUUAUUUUUGGCUGCUUCUGUUCUCAAUUAUUAAAUCAGUCUUCAGGAACUCCCAGAAGUGUAAGAAUUGCUUAAAGGAGAGCAGGGAUUGUCAGUACUUAGAAAUCUUUGGUUUAGAACAGGGAGCCCUGAAGUCAUUUUUACUAACUGAGUAACAUGUUUAUCUGAUAAAGAACCUAAUAGAUAUAAUGUGUGUGGUUUCUCAUUAACCUGGGUAUUUAGACUAUUUAGACAUUAUUCUGCUCCAAAAAAUGGAAACGUUUGCCUCUAAUCUUUCUUACCAACAUCUCAUAUUUUUCAUACAUUCUCUCUAUUAAAGAUGGAUAGAUAUAUAUGUUUUAGGUUUCAUUUUUGUUUUUUUUGCAACCACUCUUAAAUGUCACUUACAAUCACCCGAGAGAGAGGUCAUAUUGAAACCACCAUUGGGUAUUGAUGUAAUUUGGAGUUAGGGUCUUAAUGAGCAACUUCGAUGUAUGGGUCACAAAAUUGUACAGGUCCUUGUAAGUGAACUUGUAAAGAUCAUGAAUCACCAUCCUAUUAGUAGAAGGACCUUUAUACGUUGUCAUUGAUCGUGUUGUAUAACAGUGUCUUAAAAAUAGCGACAUAUCCUCUAAAGUAUAAGGAUACUUGGAAACUGAUUGUCUACAUUUUAACUCUCCCUUUAGACAGAUACUUGUGAGACUGUUGCUGUAUUACCUACUACUUUAGUGAGAGACCUUUCUAUGGAAAGUGUCACUAGCAUUAGCGAUCCUCUUUGGCCAUAGAUUUCUUUCAGAUGUCAUUUUUUUAGGCUUACAAGAGAGAAACAAGAUGUUUUACAUUGUCCUAAACAGCAAAUUAACAUUGUCCUGUGGAAACAUAGCAUUCUAACAAAGCUAAUGUACAUGAUGUAUCUAGACAUCAAAACCUUAAUCAAAUCUGGGUAACAGGCACAACCCUAUAUGUUUACUCCACCAAGUUCCACAGUAUUGAUAACAUUUCCAUUAGACGUAAUUGCACACUGGAUUAGAUAGUCAGACAUGAGAACAUAUUUAAAUUUGCUUGCUUCCAAAAUAAACAGAUUAGUGGUUGAUGUCUUCUUUGACACAAUGUUCUUAGCCCUAUAUCACUGGGCAACAAGAACUUAAUGAUACAAAAAUCUCACGACUGGUUUGUGAUAAAAUAAUAUUGUAGACAAAGUACAUAUUUUUUUUCCUACUUGGAAAACAAUCUGAAACAUUAACACAUCUAUAUUAAAGUGCUACCAUAACAGAAAUAUUUAAAGUUGCAUUUCCCGAGUUUCAACAAUCGCAUGGACGCCUAUCAAGAAAGGGCCUUGAAUAUCCUGUAAGAGCAGAUAAUUCCAUCCUCCUGUAUCCUGAAUAACAGCAUAUGCAAAUUUAAAGAUCAAAGCAUAGACACGUUAAUAUAGAUCGCUAUUUCAUUCAGAUAAAAACAGAUCUGUACGUAUCUCUAUUAUGUCCCUUUAAUUGUGACUUACCCAGAUUUUUCUAUUCAAUGUAGGCAGUUAAAUGUUGGCUGUCAUAGUUUGUGCUCAAGUUGAAUGCUAAUUUAUUUAUUUUUCAUAUUUUUUUUAAAGUAUUUUUUCCUACCUAUUAGCAGUGCAACAUUU
Molecule: long non-coding RNA, 1763 nt
Filed under: Pelobates cultripes (western spadefoot toad)
Lineage: Eukaryota; Metazoa; Chordata; Amphibia; Anura; Pelobatidae
Source: RNAcentral